GAUGAACGCUAGCGGCAGGCCUAACACAUGCAAGUCGAGGGGAAACGGCAUUGAGUGCUUGCACUCUUUGGACGUCGACCGGCGCACGGGUGAGUAACGCGUAUCCAACCUUCCCAUUACUGUGGGAUAACCUGCCGAAAGGCAGACUAAUACCGCAUAGUCUUCGAUGACGGCAUCAGAUUUGAAGUAAAGAUUUAUCGGUAAUGGAUGGGGAUGCGUCUGAUUAGCUUGUUGGCGGGGUAACGGCCCACCAAGGCAACGAUCAGUAGGGGUUCUGAGAGGAAGGUCCCCCACAUUGGAACUGAGACACGGUCCAAACUCCUACGGGAGGCAGCAGUGAGGAAUAUUGGUCAAUGGACGUAAGUCUGAACCAGCCAAGUAGCGUGCAGGAUGACGGCCCUAUGGGUUGUAAACUGCUUUUGUAUGGGGAUAAAGUUAGGGACGUGUCCCUAUUUGCAGGUACCAUACGAAUAAGGACCGGCUAAUUCCGUGCCAGCAGCCGCGGUAAUACGGAAGGUCCAGGCGUUAUCCGGAUUUAUUGGGUUUAAAGGGAGCGUAGGCUGGAGAUUAAGUGUGUUGUGAAAUGUAGACGCUCAACGUCUGACUUGCAGCGCAUACUGGUUUCCUUGAGUACGCACAACGUUGGCGGAAUUCGUCGUGUAGCGGUGAAAUGCUUAGAUAUGACGAAGAACUCCGAUUGCGAAGGCAGCUGACGGGAGCGCAACUGACGCUUAAGCUCGAAGGUGCGGGUAUCAAACAGG
This 761-nucleotide ribosomal RNA is filed under the name Prevotella melaninogenica. RNAcentral describes it as "bacterial SSU rRNA". It matches the Rfam family "Bacterial small subunit ribosomal RNA", at positions 28 to 776 of the family's 1533-position model. Lineage: Bacteria; Pseudomonadati; Bacteroidota; Bacteroidia; Bacteroidales; Prevotellaceae. The record is from RNAcentral.